AAACGUCAUCAGGAAUGCGCCCAUGAGAGCGCGAUUAGAUUGGCUGGAGGGAGGGCGGUGUCGGCCUACGCCCCCAGAGUCUUCCGGCUGGCUCUGGAGGUGGCGCGCUUUGUGUGGGUGAGGGCGGGGAGGCCUGGCUGUGUGGAUCUCUGACAGGUGAGGCGGGGGACGCAGAAGUCCAGCCGCCCUCUCUCACAGCGGAGUCCGAAACAGGCCUACCAGUCAGUUCUUAUUUCUACUGGGUGUUUCCAUGCUCCACCAUGUUAAAAGCUAAGAAUCAGCUUUUUUUACUUUCACCUCAUUACCUGAGGCAGGUAAAAGGAUCAUCAGGCUCCAGGCUCAUACGGCAACGACUUCUACACCAGCAACAGCCCCUUCACCCAGAAUGGGCUGCCCUGGCCAAAAAGCAGCUGAAAGGCAAAAACCCAGAAAACCUAAUAUGGCACACCCCAGAAGGGAUCUCUAUAAAACCCUUGUAUUCCAAGAGAGAUACUACGGACUUGCCUGAAGAACUUCCAGGAGUGAAGCCAUUCACACGUGGACCAUAUCCUACCAUGUAUACCUUUAGGCCCUGGACCAUCCGCCAGUAUGCUGGUUUCAGUACUGUGGAAGAGAGCAAUAAGUUCUAUAAGGACAAUAUUAAGGCUGGUCAGCAGGGAUUAUCAGUUGCCUUUGAUCUGGCAACACAUCGUGGGUAUGAUUCAGACAACCCUCGAGUUCGUGGUGAUGUUGGAAUGGCUGGAGUUGCUAUUGACACUGUGGAAGAUACCAAAAUUCUUUUUGAUGGAAUUCCUUUAGAAAAAAUGUCAGUUUCCAUGACUAUGAAUGGAGCAGUUAUUCCAGUUCUUGCAAAUUUUAUAGUAACUGGAGAAGAACAAGGUGUACCUAAAGAGAAACUUACUGGUACCAUCCAAAAUGAUAUACUAAAGGAAUUUAUGGUCCGAAAUACAUACAUUUUUCCUCCAGAACCAUCCAUGAAAAUUAUUGCUGACAUCUUUGAAUAUACAGCAAAGCACAUGCCAAAAUUUAAUUCAAUUUCAAUUAGUGGAUACCAUAUGCAGGAAGCAGGGGCUGAUGCCAUUUUGGAGCUGGCCUAUACUUUAGCAGAUGGAUUGGAGUACUCUAGAACUGGACUCCAGGCUGGCCUGACAAUUGAUGAAUUUGCACCAAGGUUGUCUUUCUUCUGGGGAAUUGGAAUGAAUUUCUAUAUGGAAAUAGCAAAGAUGAGAGCUGGUAGAAGACUCUGGGCUCACUUAGUAGAGAAAAUGUUUCAGCCUAAAAACUCAAAAUCUCUUCUUCUAAGAGCACAUUGUCAGACAUCUGGAUGGUCACUUACUGAGCAGGAUCCUUACAAUAAUAUUGUCCGUACUGCAAUAGAAGCAAUGGCAGCAGUAUUUGGAGGGACUCAGUCUUUGCACACAAAUUCUUUUGAUGAAGCUUUGGGUUUGCCAACUGUCAAAAGUGCUCGAAUUGCCAGGAACACACAAAUCAUCAUUCAAGAAGAAUCUGGGAUUCCCAAAGUGGCUGAUCCUUGGGGAGGUUCUUACAUGAUGGAAUGUCUCACAAAUGAUGUUUAUGAUGCUGCUUUAAAGCUCAUUAAUGAAAUUGAAGAAAUGGGUGGAAUGGCCAAAGCUGUAGCUGAGGGAAUACCUAAACUUCGAAUUGAAGAAUGUGCUGCCCGAAGGCAAGCUAGAAUAGAUUCUGGUUCUGAAGUAAUCGUUGGAGUAAAUAAGUACCAGUUGGAAAAAGAAGAUGCUGUAGAAGUUCUGGCAAUUGAUAAUACUUCAGUGCGAAACAGGCAGAUUGAAAAACUUAAGAAGAUCAAAUCCAGCAGGGAUCAAGCUUUGGCUGAACGUUGUCUUGCUGCACUAACUGAAUGUGCUGCUAGCGGAGAUGGAAAUAUCCUGGCUCUUGCAGUGGAGGCAUCUCGUGCAAGAUGUACAGUGGGAGAAAUCACAGAUGCCCUGAAAAAGGUAUUUGGUGAACAUAAAGCGAAUGAUCGAAUGGUGAGUGGAGCAUAUCGGCAGGAAUUUGGAGAAAGUAAAGAGAUAACAUCUGCUAUCAAGAGUCCCCUUCAGGAGUUUCUGAUGUCAAACAGAUGUUUAACUAACAAUGAUAUUGCUUCAUAUCCUCCAGGGUUCGUAAAUUCAUGGAACGUGAAGGUCGCAGACCUCGUCUUCUUGUAGCAAAAAUGGGACAAGAUGGCCAUGACAGAGGAGCAAAAGUUAUUGCUACAGGAUUUGCUGAUCUUGGUUUUGAUGUGGACAUAGGCCCUCUUUUCCAGACUCCUCGUGAAGUGGCCCAGCAGGCCGUGGAUGCAGAUGUGCAUGCUGUAGGUGUAAGCACCCUCGCUGCUGGUCACAAAACCCUGGUUCCUGAACUCAUCAAAGAACUUAACUCCCUUGGACGGCCAGAUAUUCUUGUCAUGUGUGGAGGGGUGAUACCACCUCAGGAUUAUGAAUUUCUGUUUGAAGUUGGUGUUUCCAAUGUAUUUGGUCCUGGGACUCGAAUUCCAAAGGCUGCCGUUCAGGUGCUUGAUGAUAUUGAGAAGUGUUUGGAAAAGAAGCAGCAAUCUGUAUAAUAUCCUCUUUUUGUUUUAGCUUUUGUCUAAAAUAUUAUUUUAGUUAUGAUCAAAGAAGAGAGUAAAGCUAUGUCUUCAAUUUAAUUUCAAUACCUGAUUUGUGCUUUCCUUGAAAGCUUUACUUUAAAAUACCUUACUUAUAAGCCUGGUGUCAUGCUGUAAGUAUGUACAUACAGCUUCACUUCAAAAAUAAAAAAAAAAUCCCUAAAAACUCUCUAUACAAUACUUUAUCAAGAACUCUGGGCAAUGGUAUUAUUUUUAAAAAUCAUGGUGAUGUAUUUAUUAGAAUGUUUCUUAUAAAUCUGUUUACUUUUUAUAUUAAUAAUUAAACUGUACCUAAAAAACUGACUAUUCCCAUUUGUCAGUUUAGCAUUACAUUGUCUUGAGCACCAGAAAAUAAAAUCCAUAUAUUAAUAAAAACCUAUCUUGAAAAACUAGUGGAGUGUAUUUAUGUGGCAAAAGAGAUUUUGGGAGGAGUCCUCAGCCAAAUUCUACCAGAAUCACCUUGAUAAAAGAAGUAUUAAAUCAAGCAUAGCAGUUUGGAAUAUGGGGAAUUUGACAGUAUAUUUCUUCAAGUCUGAUUUUACUUUCUUCCUGAGCAUGACCAUCUGACCUUGUUAUUUCUGGGCUUGGCUCAAGACCCAGGAGAGUGGAUGUUUAUGAACAUUCCUUUAAAUAAAAGUGCUUAGGUUGUAGUUAUGGCUUUGUCUAGAAUGGUGAUGUCAACUGUGAGUGUAGGUCUAUGACACAGAAAGAAUUCAACUUUCCAGAUCUACAAAGAUGCUACCUUGCAUAGAUUUGCUCCUUAAACAUAAAUUGCAAAAAUAAAAAUAUCACAGAGAACACCUGUACUUUGCUUAUUGAAAGAUUUGCUCACUAAAGAAGGAAAGUUGCCAUUUACCUGUGUAACAAAUCUGCAUAUCCUGCACAUGUUCCCCAGAAUGUAAAAUAAAAAAAAAUUUAAAUAAAAAAGGAAAGUUGUCCUUUAUUGUUAACAUGAUCCAUUACAUGAAUAUAAAAUAAAUAAUUAUCUUUUGUAAUAAAUUUCUAUUCUAUUAGAUCAGAGAGCAGUCUUUUGGAAAGUAUUAUAGGUACAUUACUGUAGAAUUUACAAACUCAUUGUAAUAGAAUAUAUUUAAUUUUCAGAAUAUGAUUAUCUGAAUGGUAUUGUCAUGAUUAUUGUUCCCAUUUUACAGAUGAACACUCUGACUUCAAGUCCAAUGAUAUAUUCACUAUGCCACUAUGCCAUUUUAUUGACUUUUCCUUGUAAAGCAAUGCACACUAAUUUAGUAAGUAUUUCGUUUCUGUGAUGUGUUCAGUUGUGUGCUGGAUGACGUGAAAUAAACUCAUCCUUGAGGAAUUUA
Molecule: RNA transcript, 3945 nt
Organism: Nomascus leucogenys (northern white-cheeked gibbon)
Lineage: Eukaryota; Metazoa; Chordata; Mammalia; Primates; Hylobatidae
Gene: MMUT
Gene name: methylmalonyl-CoA mutase
Exons: 14
Source: RefSeq, a predicted model, not a curated record